CGGUGGCCGGCAUGCUUUCUCACACGCAGCUAGCAGCGCAAUGUGCCCUUCGCAGGGGAUAUGCCACCUGACAUCAGCUACCAAGAAGCAGUGGUGGAUCUAAGAACUGCUGUAAUAUAGAAGACUAAGGAGUGCAAACCACAUUCUGAGAUAGCAGCAGUAACGACCGUGGAAGAUAAAAUUACCUGCCGUUUCGAAUUAACCUGAACAGAACACAGCUGCGCCAAGGUCAAGUGGUAGUAAGGACCACAGGUCUAAUGUGAUGACCUCCUGGAUCUCUUGAAGAAGAAAGUGCCAACCACCAAGGUCAAGAGCUUCUCAUCUUGGUCAUGCCAUCAGGAAACAGUUAAGAGACGGAAAGGAGCAGCAUUGAAACAGUCUCUGGAAGUGGCAUGAGGUCUGUAAUGAGAAAAAAGAGCAAAGAAAAGGAAGAGGUGAUGGUCUGCACUUAGG
This is a long non-coding RNA of Lemur catta (Ring-tailed lemur), 453 nucleotides long. RefSeq lists it as uncharacterized. The transcript has 5 exons. NCBI's taxonomy places the organism in Eukaryota, Metazoa, Chordata, Mammalia, Primates, Lemuridae. The record is from RefSeq and is a predicted model, not a curated record.